CUCAGGAUGAACGCUGGCGGCGUGCCUAAUACAUGCAAGUCGAGCGAACRGACGAGAGUGCUUGCACUCUCUGAYGUUAGCGGCGGACGGGUGAGUAACACGUGGGUAACCUACCUAUAAGACUGGGAUAACUUCGGGAAACCGGAGCUAAUACCGGAUAAUAUCUAGCUUCGCAUGAAGCAAUAGUGAAAGACGGUUCUGCUGUCACUUAUAGAUGGACCCGCGGUGUAUUAGCUAGUUGGUGAGGUAACGGCUCACCAAGGCAACGAUACAUAGCCGACCUGAGAGGGUGAUCGGCCACACUGGGACUGAGACACGGCCCAGACUCCUACGGGAGGCAGCAGUAGGGAAUCUUCCGCAAUGGACGAAAGUCUGACGGAGCAACGCCGCGUGAGUGAAGAAGGUUUUCGGAUCGUAAAACUCUGUUGUAAGGGAAGAACAAGUACGUUAGUAACUGAACGUACCUUGACGGUACCUUACCAGAAAGCCACGGCUAACUACGUGCCAGCAGCCGCGGUAAUACGUAGGAGGCAAGCGUUAUCCGGAAUUAUUGGGCGUAAAGCGCGCGUAGGCGGUCUCUUAAGUCUGAUGUGAAAGCCCCCGGCUCAACCGGGGAGGGUCAUUGGAAACUGGGAGACUUGAGUGCAGAAGAGGAGAGUGGAAUUCCAUGUGUAGCGGUGAAAUGCGCAGAGAUAUGGAGGAACACCAGUGGCGAAGGCGGCUCUCUGGUCUGUAACUGACGCUGAGGUGCGAAAGCGUGGGGAUCAAACAGG
RNAcentral lists this ribosomal RNA (773 nucleotides) under Macrococcoides caseolyticum. RNAcentral's name for it is "bacterial SSU rRNA". It matches the Rfam family "Bacterial small subunit ribosomal RNA", at positions 23 to 776 of the family's 1533-position model. The record is from RNAcentral. Lineage: Bacteria; Bacillati; Bacillota; Bacilli; Caryophanales; Staphylococcaceae.